ACUCCUACGGGAGGCAGCAGUAAGGAAUAUUGGUCAAUGGAGGCAACUCUGAACCAGCCAUGCCGCGUGCAGGAAGACGGCCCUCUGGGUUGUAAACUGCUUUUAUUCGGGAAUAAACCCUUUUACGUGUAAGAGGUUGAAUGUACCGAAAGAAUAAGGAUCGGCUAACUCCGUGCCAGCAGCCGCGGUAAUACGGAGGAUCCAAGCGUUAUCCGGAUUUAUUGGGUUUAAAGGGUGCGUAGGCGGCUUAUUAAGUCAGGGGUGAAAGACGGUGGCUCAACCAUCGCAGUGCCUUUGAUACUGAUGAGCUUGAAUACACUUGAAGUAGGCGGAAUGUGACAAGUAGCGGUGAAAUGCAUAGAUAUGUCACAGAACACCGAUUGCGAAGGCAGCUUACUAAGGUGCAAUUGACGCUGAGGCACGAAAGCGUGGGGAUCAAACAGGAUUAGAUACCCUGGUAGUCCACGCCCUAAACGAUGAAUACUCGAUGUUAGCGAUAUACUGUUAGCGUCUAAGCGAAAGCGUUAAGUAUUCCACCUGGGGAGUACGCCCGCAAGGGUGAAACUCAAAGGAA
This 574-nucleotide ribosomal RNA is filed under the name uncultured bacterium. RNAcentral describes it as "bacterial SSU rRNA". It matches the Rfam family "Bacterial small subunit ribosomal RNA", at positions 335 to 909 of the family's 1533-position model. The record is from RNAcentral.